CCUGCGGAAGGAUCAUUAAUGAAUUCACUAUGGAGUUGUUGCUGGCCUCUAGGGGCAUGUGCACGCUUCACUAGUCUUUCAACCACCUGUGAACUUUUGAUAGAUCUGUGAAGUCGUCUUUCAAGUCGUCAGACUUGGUUUGCUGGGAUUUAAACGUCUCGGUGUGACAACGCAGUCUAUUUACUUAACACACCCCAAAUGUAUGUCUACGAAUGUCAUUUAAUGGGCCUUGUGCCUAUAAACCAUAAUACAACUUUCAACAACGGAUCUCUUGGCUCUCGCAUCGAUGAAGAACGCAGCGAAAUGCGAUAAGUAAUGUGAAUUGCAGAAUUCAGUGAACCAUCGAAUCUUUGAACGCACCUUGCGCCCCUUGGUAUUCCGAGGGGCAUGCCUGUUUGAGUGUCAUUAAAUUCUCAAACUCACUUUGGUUUUUUUCCAAUUGUGAUGUUUGGAUUGUUGGGGGCUGCUGGCCUUGACAGGUCGGCUCCUCUUAAAUGCAUUAGCAGGACUUCUCAUUGCCUCUGCGCAUGAUGUGAUAAUUAUCACUCAUCAAUAGCACGCAUGAAUAGAGUCCAGCUCUCUAAUCGUCCGCAAGGACAAUUUGACAAUUUGACCUC
This 617-nucleotide ribosomal RNA is filed under the name Pleurotus ostreatus (oyster mushroom). Its description in RNAcentral is "eukaryotic LSU rRNA". The stretch from base 252 to 405 matches the Rfam family "5.8S ribosomal RNA". The record is from RNAcentral. Lineage: Eukaryota; Fungi; Basidiomycota; Agaricomycetes; Agaricales; Pleurotaceae.